This 497-nucleotide ribosomal RNA is filed under the name uncultured bacterium. RNAcentral describes it as "partial 16S ribosomal RNA". It matches the Rfam family "Bacterial small subunit ribosomal RNA", at positions 28 to 507 of the family's 1533-position model. The record is from RNAcentral.
GAUGAACGCUGGCGGCGUGCCUAAUACAUGCAAGUCGAGCGAACAGACGAGGAGCUUGCUCCUCUGACGUUAGCGGCGGACGGGUGAGUAACACGUGGAUAACCUACCUAUAAGACUGGGAUAACUUCGGGAAACCGGAGCUAAUACCGGAUAAUAUCUUGAACCGCAUGGUUCAAUAGUUAAAGACGGUUUUGCUGUCACUUCUAGAUGGAUCCGCGCCGCAUUAGUUAGUUGGUAAGGUAACGGCUUACCAAGGCAACGAUGCGUAGCCGACCUGAGAGGGUGAACGGCGACACUGGAACUGAGACACGGUCCAGACUCCUACGGGAGGCAGCAGUAGGGAAUCUUCCGCAAUGGGCGAAAGCUUGACGGAGCAACGCCGCGUGAGUGAUGAAGGUCUUCGGAUCGUAAAACUCUGUUAUUAGGGAAGAACAAAUGUGUAAGUAACUAUGCACGUCUUGACGGUACCUAAUCAGAAAGCCACGGCUAACUACGUG